AAAAAUGUGAUAUUCCUAGACUGCUUGCACAUGGUACAUUCAAUGCCCAUACUUGGCAGAAGUUCAUAGAAGGUGAUGAAAUUUCGUAUUCUUGUGAGGUUGGAUAUGAUCCUAUAAAUCAACAAGCUAAGGCCGUGUGCACCAAAAAUGGCUGGUCACCUACUCCACGUUGUAACAUAAAAAGUAAGUGUUAUUUAUGGAAUCCAAUUUGACAAUAUAGAACCUGAGAACCUGGAGCCUGCCCUGUCCUGCUGUGAACAACCAGUACAUUAUAUUAUUUUCUUGGACUUCUCACAGUUGUAGGAAAGCUUAAGGGUGUGCAUGUUUGCAAAUCCCAUGCUGAUUUAAUAAUAAUAAUAAUAAUUUAUUAUUUAUACCCCACCCAUCUGGCUGGGCUUCCCCAGCCACUCUGGGCGGCUUCCAAAAUAAUAUUAAAAUACUGUAAUACAUCAAACAUUAAAAGCUUCCCUAAACAGGGGUGCCUUCAGAUGUCUUCUAAAAGUCUGGUAGUUGUUGUUCUCUUUGACAUCUGGUGGGAGAGCGUUCCACAGGGAGGGUGCCACUACCGAGAAGGCCCUCUGCCUGGUUCCCUGUAACUUGGCUUCUCGCAGUGAGGGAACCGCCAGAAGGCCCUCGGUGCUGGACCUCAGUGUCCGGGUAGAACGAUGGGGGUGGAGACGCUCCUUCAGAUAUACUGGACUGAGGCCGUUUAGGGCUUUAAAGGUCAGCACCAACACUUUGAAUUGUGCUCGGAAACGUACUGGGAGCCAAUGUAGGUCUUUCAAGACCAGUGUUAUAUGGUCUCGGUGCCACUCCCAGUCACCAGUCUGGCUGCCGUGUUCUGGAUUAGUUGUAGUUUCGGGGUCACCUUCAAAGGUAGCCCCACGUAGAGCGCAUUGCAGUAGUCCAAGCGGGAGAUAAGUAGAGCAUGCACCACUCUGGCGAGGCAGUCCGCAGGCAGAUAGGGUCUCAGCCUGUGUACCAGAUGGAGCUGGUAAACAGCUGCCCUGGACACGGAUUUGACCUGUGCCUCCAUGGACAGCUGUGAGUCCAAAAUGACUCCCAGGCUGCACACCUGGUCCUUCAGGGGCACAGUUACCCCAUUCAGGACCAGAGAAUCCUCCACACCUGCCCGCCUCCUGUCCCCCAAAAACAGUACUUCUGUCUUGUCAGGAUUCAAUCUCAAUCUGUUAGCCGCCAUCCACCCUCGAACCGCCUCCAGGCACUCACACAGGACCUUCACCACCUUCACUGGUUCUGAUCUGAAAGAGAGGUAGAGCUGGGUAUCAUCCGCAUACUGAUGAACACCCAGCCCAAACCCCCUGAUGAUCUCUCCCAGCGGCUGCAUGUAGAUGUUGAAAAGCAUGGGGGAGAGGACAGAACCCUGAGGCACCCCACAAGUGAGAGCUCAGGGGUCUGAACACUCAUCCCCCCCACCACUUUUUGAACACGGCUCAGGAGGAAGGAGCGGAACCACUGCAUGACAGUGCCCCCAACUCCCAGCCCCUCAACAGUCCAGAAGGAUGUUAUGGUUGAUGGUAUCAAACGCCGUUGAGAGAUCCAGCAGAACUAGGAAACAGCUCUCACCUUUGUCCCUAGCCCGCCAGAGAUGAUCAACCAGUGCGACCAAGGCAGUUUCAGUCCCAUGAUGAGGCCUGAAUCCUGACUGGAAGGGAUCCAAAUAGUCCGCUUCUUCCAG
Molecule: non-coding RNA, 1699 nt
Organism: Podarcis lilfordi (Lilford's wall lizard)
Lineage: Eukaryota; Metazoa; Chordata; Lepidosauria; Squamata; Lacertidae
Source: the annotation of a GenBank genome assembly